RNAcentral lists this ribosomal RNA (748 nucleotides) under uncultured bacterium. Its description in RNAcentral is "bacterial SSU rRNA". It matches the Rfam family "Bacterial small subunit ribosomal RNA", at positions 9 to 803 of the family's 1533-position model. The record is from RNAcentral.
GAGUUUGAUCAUGGCUCAGAACGAACGCCGGUGGCAGGCCUAACACAUGCAAGUCGAGCGAGACCUUCGGGUCUAGCGGCGGACGGGUUAGUAACGCGUGGGAACGUGCCCUUUACUACGGAAUAGUCCCGGGAAACUGGGUUUAAUACCGUAUACGCCCUUCGGGGGAAAGAUUUAUCGGUAAAGGAUCGGCCCGCGUUAGAUUAGAUAGUUGGUGGGGUAAUGGCCUACCAAGUCUACGAUCUAUAGCUGGUUUGAGAGGAUGAUCAGCAACACUGGGACUGAGACACGGCCCAGACUCCUACGGGAGGCAGCAGUGGGGAAUCUUGGACAAUGGGCGCAAGCCUGAUCCAGCCAUGCCGCGUGAGUGACGAAGGCCUUAGGGUCGUAAAGCUCUUUCGCCAGGGAUGAUAAUGACAGUACCUGGUAAAGAAACCCCGGCUAACUCCGUGCCAGCAGCCGCGGUAAUACGGAGGGGGUUAGCGUUGUUCGGAAUUACUGGGCGUAAAGCGCACGUAGGCGGACUGGAAAGUUGGGGGUGAAAUCCCGGGGCUCAACCUCGGAACUGCCUCCAAAACUACUAGUCUAGAGUUCGAGAGAGGUGAGUGGAAUUCCGAGUGUAGAGGUGAAAUUCGUAGAUAUUCGGAGGAACACCAGUGGCGAAGGCGGCUCACUGGCUCGAUACUGACGCUGAGGUGCGAAAGUGUGGGGAGCAAACAGGAUUAGAUACCCUGGUAGUCCACACCGU